AGCGAACGCUGGCGGUAUGCUUAACACAUGCAAGUCGAGCGAGAAAAUGGCUUCGGCCAUGAGUACAGCGGCGGACGGGUGCGUAACACGUGGAUAAUCUGCCUUUAGGACCGGGACAACCCAGGGAAACUUGGGCUAAUACCGGAUAAGACCACAGUUUCUACGGAAACAGUGGUAAAAGGCGGCUUUCGGGCUGUCACCUAUAGAUGAGUCCGCGUCCCAUCAGGUUGUUGGUGAGGUAAUGGCUCACCAAGCCUAAGACGGGUAGCCGACCUUAGCGGGUGAUCGGCCACACGGGGACUGAGACACGGCCCCGACUCCUACGGGAGGCAGCAGUGGGGAAUAUUGGGCAAUGGGCGCAAGCCUGACCCAGCAAUACCGCGUGAGGGAUGAAGGCCUUCGGGUCGUAAACCUCUGUCAGUAGGAACGAUGGGUUUUGUAGGUUAAUACCCUGCAGACUUGACGGUACCUACAGAGGAA
Molecule: ribosomal RNA, 480 nt
Filed under: uncultured bacterium
Lineage: Bacteria
Description: bacterial SSU rRNA
Rfam family: Bacterial small subunit ribosomal RNA
Source: RNAcentral